This is a non-coding RNA of Callithrix jacchus (white-tufted-ear marmoset), 935 nucleotides long. The record is from RefSeq and is a predicted model, not a curated record. NCBI's taxonomy places the organism in Eukaryota, Metazoa, Chordata, Mammalia, Primates, Cebidae.
GCUCAGUCUUCCCGCAGAGGGUAGGUCGGACAAAUGGUGCCGGAAACCCGGGACGGGAGCUGAGGCCGUUGGCCCGGCCAUGGCCCCCCUCCCCUACCUACCCAACACUGGCCCUGCCACCUCCACGUUCCGAUUAAGAACCGAAGAGCCCUGGACCUGCUCACUGCUGAACGAGGAGGGACCUGUAUCUUCCUACAAGAAGAGUGCUGUUACUACAUCAAUGAAUCCGGCCUAGUAGAAACCCGAAUCGAGAGCCUCCAGAAACUCAAAACUAACCUGUAGAGUCAGAAGUUCUCGGCUGAAGCCACAGCGUGGUGGUCUUCCUCUAUGUAUACCCUCUUGUCACCAUUGCUUGGGCCCCUAAUAGCCGUUUGCCUAAUCUUACUUAUUGCUCCUUGCUUUCUCCAGUUCCUACAGCGGCUCUUUCAAGAACUGACUGGAGUCACCAUCCACCAGAUGCUGCUCCAACCCCACCCUGAACGAGUGCAAGAAACAGACCUCUCCCCAAACCUCCAGGCUCCUUAGGAAAAGAAACCUCUUCAGAACCCCCCGUCGACCCUUGUCAGCAGGAAGUAGCCAGAGAGACAACCGACGCCCCUGACCCCCUCUUUUUCUUUUCUUUAAGGAGUCGGGAAUGUUUGGAAAACUCUGCCCCUACCGCAAAAUCUCUCUCUCUUUCCCUCCCCCACAAAGAGGCUCCCUUAUCUCUCACUUUACAUACCGGCCCUAGCCCUCCCGCCGCCCAGCUUCCCGCCCAGCAGUUCAAACUGACCAACAGUUGCCCACCACCUCGGCUUUUGGCUUCCCCACCCCCCAGCCCUUCAGCCCCCUAUAAAACAACCCUGCCCCUCUGAGCGGCGCGGCCAUUUUUCCUUUUCGUCCCAGCUGGCCCGCCCGGAGGCUCUUUCCUCUCAAUAAAGCCUGAACUUAAGGAA